GGUGAGGGGCAUGACGUCGGCGGUAAGCACGACAGGUGUUACAGUCCAAGGGCAGCCCUGGGAGGGGCGGGCGGCCGGGGGCUCCUGGACGCCCCCCUGCCCCAACCCUGGUCCCCACAUACCAGGGGCCGGUUUGGUCUCCUCUCUGCUUCCCCGCUCGUGCAGGUGGCGAAGAGGGUGGGGGACACCGUGGGGUGAUAGGUCCCCACAAACAGUGGAGCUCUGAUCAUGGUCACGGAAUUGCACAAGAAACCCCGUGGGCCGAGGCGGCCGUGGCAGCUCCACCAACAGCCUGGCCUCAGGCUCCUCUGUCUCCACUUUGCUGGAGCAGCUCACACCCUCGAGCGUUUCCUGGCUUCAUCUUGCCAUCGUACUCUGGCGUCUAGUUACAAUGAGGAACCCCCGUCUGAGCCCAAGGGAGCCCAGCUUCGCUCUCUCAACAUCUCUUCCACCACUUCCCGGGGGCUAAGUGGGAAUUCACUCCAGACAGCAGUUCUGGCCCCAUCAGGGCACAACUCGCGUCUGGGCCAGAACUUCAUCUCUUCAUUGCAGAAAGUUAAGGAAAUCGUUGCUCAGCCAGGGAGCAAAGAUUGGCUCUGCAGCUGCUCUUUUAUGGAGCUGUUAACGCAGAGACACCAUUACUUAAAUGUAAUUUUUAGUAUUACAAUUAAAGACUGAUUUGAUUUUAUGAGAUCAUGCAUUUUUAUUUUAUGGACGUUUUUGUAGUUAAAUUCAAUUUAAAAGAUUGUAUUUAAAGUAAGGUAUAAGCACGGAGCGUAUUAAAGUUAUGUAAGCCUGCUUUUGGCGCUCUGAUAGCAAAGCUUCCAGCACUGGAUUACUCUGGUAGCGCCACAUGUUUCCUGCUACAACUACGUACUAGCUCAGGAGAAACGAACUUGGCUUCCUCUGUUUGUGACAGCCCCAAAUCUAUCAAGCCUCACGAAGCUCACUGUCAAUUUUCUGCAGGAAAGAAACACUCCUCUCCUUUCAGCCGACUCUCCGAGGAAGGACUUCCAUGGACCCAGGUGCUCUUUCGCUGGGAUUUCACUCUCUGUGCGACACGGAGCUGUGCCCGUGGGGACCAGCCUGCAGAAUGCCACGAGCUGUGCCCGUGGGGACCAGCCCUCCCAGGGCUGAGGCCAGCUGAUGACCCGGUGCGAUUUUUGAAGGCUUCGUUUCUGAUGGCAGAAAAGCACGUCAGCGUAUUUGCACGGAAUAGAUUAAGCUGCUGGGAACCACGUCCCCUUCAACCGGACUGACGUGGGACCAAGAAGGGGCUUUGUCCUUGUCACCUGGCCUGUCCUAGGUCACCGGGACAAGCAAGGGAAGCGGUGGACCCUCUUUUAAGCCCCACGUCGCAAAAAUGCGUGAAAUGAGCCCAGACUGAAUUAGAUCCUUCCUCCCACGUAUUUUGGCUGAAAGGUCGCUCUUCCUUCUCUCACUCGUGUUUCCUGGGCGCGAAACCUGGUUUCUCCGCCAUCGAAUUAGCAGAGGAGCAAAGGUUACUCAGAUCUUGGCGCUUUGACGAGUAAGUCCUGCUGGCUGAGUGGGCCCCGUGUCCGGCCAGCGACCGUCCCUCUCACUGUCAGCACCGCCGACCGGAGGGAGCUGGUCCCGCUCGUGNGGGGGGGGGGGGUGGGGGGGGGGGGGGGGGGGGGGCUGCCAGGGGCUGCCAGGG
This 1678-nucleotide long non-coding RNA is filed under the name Sus scrofa (pig). RNAcentral's name for it is "lncRNA (ENSSSCG00030067780.1)". The record is from RNAcentral. Lineage: Eukaryota; Metazoa; Chordata; Mammalia; Artiodactyla; Suidae.